This is a small nuclear RNA of Microtus oregoni (creeping vole), 161 nucleotides long. RefSeq annotates it as U1 spliceosomal RNA. Lineage: Eukaryota; Metazoa; Chordata; Mammalia; Rodentia; Cricetidae. The transcript has a single exon. The record is from RefSeq and is a predicted model, not a curated record.
GAAGUUGGGGGAGGGGAGAUACCAUGAUCAGGAAGGCAGUUUUCCCAGGAGGAGGCUUAUCCAUUGCUGUCCAAUGUGCUGACCCCUGUGAUUUCCCCAAAUGCGGGAAACUCCACUGCAUAAUUUGUGGUAGUGGGGGACUGUGUUAGCGCUCACCCCUG